Molecule: long non-coding RNA, 1983 nt
Filed under: Triticum aestivum (bread wheat)
Lineage: Eukaryota; Viridiplantae; Streptophyta; Magnoliopsida; Poales; Poaceae
Description: long non-coding RNA (TAES_LNC020553)
Source: RNAcentral
UCAUAAAAUAUUAAAAAGGAUACAAUAGUCUAACAAAAGUUGUUCCAUAGAAGUUAUGUAUACAAUCUAUAUGUCCAAUUGUAGCUUUGGCUACAUUCAAAUGAAAAUAUCGAAAAAUAAAUCGACAUAAUAGCUCUCCCUAUAACUUAAAAACAUCUACAAGCUAAUAGGGUUGAUCAAGAAGCAACAUCUAGCCUUCAAUUAGUGGACUAAUUGCAGUAACCUGAACAAUAAUAUGCACAAAACUGUAAAAGUUAUACUUUAGGAUUCAGCUAAACAUCCACGUAUGGAUUAACUCUGCCAAAGCCGCUUGAUGGAUCCUAUGCUUUUUGUGAGUGGCAUAGUACACACAACAUGGCAUGUCAAAUAAUUGCCGAAUCUAAGUUCUAAAUCUAAAUUUCUGUAGAAGAAAAUCAUGCAUGUGUGCACCUCUGAUAAAUGAUAUCACAAUAAUUUCCGCAUGAAAAAAACCAUACAUGGUUAUUCUUAUGCUUCAGGAAAUCAAAUGUAUAUAUAAUAAAUGAUUCAUCUUAUGCUUCAGGAAAUCAAACGUAUAUUACAGUCAAUGGUGAAGAUGUGUGCAGCAUAUUAGCGAAAAUCGUUUGUACAAUCUAGAAGACAAAUAACUUAUUUAAUAGAGAACAAAACUUCCAAGUAAUUAAAAGUUACAAAAACAAAGUAGAUAAUAUGUGCAAGAAUCCAUGCAAUGUAUUGGAGGUAAAUCCGACCUGAAAUGGAAAUAGAGAAGCAUUGCAUGACCUCUCGGCAGAUCAAAACCUAUAUUAUUUUCUUUACACUCUGACUUGGAUUGGUAUUUAGUUCAACACCUAUAGAGUUAGAAGCUACACUACUUUUGCAGAUGAUUUAUAAGCGUUUGAAAAUUAAAGAAGAAAAACAUGCAUAUAAUGUGAUCAUAUAUAUACAUGUAUUAGCUUUUGAAAGGCCUUGUUUUUUGGCAAAAAGCUUUUGAAGAGCUUGUGCUUUUCUGAUUCUCUAAUAAUAGGUAGACAUUAAAUUUAAUUUUAGAAGGGUAAUUAAGAGACUACUACUACUGCCCAGUAAUAAAUAUGUGGUUUAGUACAGCCUCGGUAAUUGAUCUUUUAUUCUAAUUCGGAUCAAGCAAUGUCUACAAAACAAAAAAAAGUAAUGAGUCUGUGUAUCCUUGCUGAAGAUUAUUGGCUUUCCAAACUAUGCAUGUACCUUUCCCAACUAAUUAGCUUUCCAAACCAUGCAUGUAAUCUUGAACGGAUCAAGCAAUGUCUAAGAAAAGAAGAAAUGAGUCUAUGUAUCCUUGCUAAAGAUUAUUGGCUUUCCAAACUAUGCAUGUACCUUUCCCAACUAAUUAGCUUUCCAAACCAUGCAUGUACCCUUUCAAGGCAUAUUUUCACCUGCAAAACACGAGCAGAUAAACCUCAAAACUUACAAAAUGGAUCAUAAUACCACAAGAAAGUUUUAGUGCAAUCAGAACAGACGAUAUAGAAAAUUGAACAAAAAUUAGAAUAACUAAUGAUCUGAUAGGGUUAGUAAAGAAAACAUAAGUUCAGGCUAAGAUUUAAUAUAAGGGAAGGAGGAAACAAAUACAUGGAAAAUAUUGGGCCAAAGGGAUUUCGGAAAAUCAUACUGUGCCAACGAAGUAGUAACUAUUCAUCUAUGCACUAUAAGAGAGUCACCGAUACGAGGAUCCAUGUGUCAAAAUUAUGAUUUUCUACUCUUCCCCGAAGCUUAAUUCAAAUAUACAAAAACUUUCAACUAAUUGAUGGGCCUUAGAUGGAACUAAAUGUUGUAACACAAACAGGUGAAUGUCAAUAAAUGGAAGUACCUAGUAGAAGCAAAGGUUGUUGUUCACAUUCUCUUCAGAAGCAUGCAUCUUAUUGAUAAAAGCACACGCCAGGAAGAAGUGUGUUGGGAUAACAAUAUUCAGUUUUGGACCCCCUUUUCCACUUUGUAGUAAAAGACAUCGUUGUAGUGGCACCAAAAUGAAGU